GGAGAUCUUUUGUGAUGAGAAGCUGAAGACCAUAUUUGAUGGAAAAGAAAAAGUUGGAUUCCUGGAGAUAGGGAAGUUGCUAUCAUGUCAUUUUGUGAAGACCGGUUAACUUUCAUUAUUUGGUGUUGGAUUUGUGGCUGAACUCUUCAUGGAGCAAAGUUCUUAACUACUGAUCUUGAAUCGUUUUAUGUGCUAUUAUACUGAUAUUUUCCUUUUGCAUGAGAGCCAAGCGUUUAUGAAUUGUAUUGCUACUGAACAAGCAUUUAGCUGGAC
RNAcentral lists this unclassified non-coding RNA (273 nucleotides) under Hevea brasiliensis (rubber tree). The record is from RNAcentral. Lineage: Eukaryota; Viridiplantae; Streptophyta; Magnoliopsida; Malpighiales; Euphorbiaceae.